GACGAACGCUGGCGGCGUGCUUAACACAUGCAAGUCGAACGGAAAGGCCCUGCUUUUGUUGGGUUCUCGAGUGGCGAACGGGUGAGUAACACGUGAGUAACCUGCCCUUGACUUUGGGAUAACUUCAGGAAACUGGGUCUCAUACCGGAUAGGAUCUCCUGCUGCAUGUUGUGGGUUGGAAAGUUUCGGCGGUUGGGUAUGGACUCGCGGCUUAUCAGCUUGUUGGUGGGGUAGUGGCUUACCAAGGCUUUGACGGGUAGCCGGCCUGAGAGGGUGACCGGCCACAUUAGGACUGAGAUACGGACCAGACUCCUACGGGAGGCAGCAGUGGGGAAUAUUGCACAAUGGGCGGAAGCCUGAUGCAGCAACGCCGCGUGCGGGAUGACGGCCUUCGGGUUGUAAACCGCUUUCGCCUGUGACGAAGAGUGAGUGACGGUAAUGGGUAAAGAAGCACCGGCUAACUACGUG
RNAcentral lists this ribosomal RNA (468 nucleotides) under uncultured bacterium. RNAcentral's name for it is "partial 16S ribosomal RNA". It matches the Rfam family "Bacterial small subunit ribosomal RNA", at positions 28 to 507 of the family's 1533-position model. The record is from RNAcentral.